GGAGGAAACAAGAUGGCGAAGGCAAUCCCCUAGGCAUUGCACUGACGUUCAUGCACGACAGCGUGGGGAGCAAACCGGAUUAGAUACCCUGGUAGUCACACGCCCUAAACGAUGUCAACUGGUUGUUGGGAAUUAGUUUUCUCAGUAACGAAGCUAACGCGUGAAGUUGACCGCCUGGGGAGUACGGCCGCAAGGUUGAAACUCAAAGGGAUUGACGGGGACCCGCACAAGCGGUGGAUGAUGUGGUUUAAUUCGAUGCAACGCGAAAAGCCUUACCCACCUGUGACAUGUACGGAAUCCCUGAGAGAUAGAGGAGUGCUCGAAAGAGAGCCGUAACACAGGUGCUGCAUGGCUGUCGUCAGCUCGUGUCGUGAGAUGUUGGGUUAAGUCCCGCAACGAGCGCAACCCUUGCCAUUAGUUGCUACGAAAGGGCACUCUAAUGGGACUGCCGGUGACAAGCCGGAGGAAGGUGGGGAUGACGUCAAGUCCUCAUGGCCCUCAUAGGUGGGGCUACACACGUCAUUACAUACGACUCUACAUUUGGCGAACAGAAUCGAGCGGCCGAGAAUUCGCCCAAGGCCGUUCAGGUCAAUCAGGCUCGUGCACAUAUUCCCAGUUUGGAGUAUCAAGAUAUCUUGUAGU
RNAcentral lists this ribosomal RNA (642 nucleotides) under uncultured bacterium. Its description in RNAcentral is "bacterial SSU rRNA". It matches the Rfam family "Bacterial small subunit ribosomal RNA", at positions 700 to 1326 of the family's 1533-position model. The record is from RNAcentral.